RNAcentral lists this ribosomal RNA (1554 nucleotides) under Klebsiella pneumoniae. RNAcentral describes it as "bacterial SSU rRNA". It matches the Rfam family "Bacterial small subunit ribosomal RNA". Lineage: Bacteria; Pseudomonadati; Pseudomonadota; Gammaproteobacteria; Enterobacterales; Enterobacteriaceae. The record is from RNAcentral.
ACUUAAAUUGAAGAGUUUGAUCAUGGCUCAGAUUGAACGCUGGCGGCAGGCCUAACACAUGCAAGUCGAGCGGUAGCACAGAGAGCUUGCUCUCGGGUGACGAGCGGCGGACGGGUGAGUAAUGUCUGGGAAACUGCCUGAUGGAGGGGGAUAACUACUGGAAACGGUAGCUAAUACCGCAUAAUGUCGCAAGACCAAAGUGGGGGACCUUCGGGCCUCAUGCCAUCAGAUGUGCCCAGAUGGGAUUAGCUAGUAGGUGGGGUAACGGCUCACCUAGGCGACGAUCCCUAGCUGGUCUGAGAGGAUGACCAGCCACACUGGAACUGAGACACGGUCCAGACUCCUACGGGAGGCAGCAGUGGGGAAUAUUGCACAAUGGGCGCAAGCCUGAUGCAGCCAUGCCGCGUGUGUGAAGAAGGCCUUCGGGUUGUAAAGCACUUUCAGCGGGGAGGAAGGCGGUGAGGUUAAUAACCUCAUCGAUUGACGUUACCCGCAGAAGAAGCACCGGCUAACUCCGUGCCAGCAGCCGCGGUAAUACGGAGGGUGCAAGCGUUAAUCGGAAUUACUGGGCGUAAAGCGCACGCAGGCGGUCUGUCAAGUCGGAUGUGAAAUCCCCGGGCUCAACCUGGGAACUGCAUUCGAAACUGGCAGGCUAGAGUCUUGUAGAGGGGGGUAGAAUUCCAGGUGUAGCGGUGAAAUGCGUAGAGAUCUGGAGGAAUACCGGUGGCGAAGGCGGCCCCCUGGACAAAGACUGACGCUCAGGUGCGAAAGCGUGGGGAGCAAACAGGAUUAGAUACCCUGGUAGUCCACGCCGUAAACGAUGUCGAUUUGGAGGUUGUGCCCUUGAGGCGUGGCUUCCGGAGCUAACGCGUUAAAUCGACCGCCUGGGGAGUACGGCCGCAAGGUUAAAACUCAAAUGAAUUGACGGGGGCCCGCACAAGCGGUGGAGCAUGUGGUUUAAUUCGAUGCAACGCGAAGAACCUUACCUGGUCUUGACAUCCACAGAACUUAGCAGAGAUGCUUUGGUGCCUUCGGGAACUGUGAGACAGGUGCUGCAUGGCUGUCGUCAGCUCGUGUUGUGAAAUGUUGGGUUAAGUCCCGCAACGAGCGCAACCCUUAUCCUUUGUUGCCAGCGGUUCGGCCGGGAACUCAAAGGAGACUGCCAGUGAUAAACUGGAGGAAGGUGGGGAUGACGUCAAGUCAUCAUGGCCCUUACGACCAGGGCUACACACGUGCUACAAUGGCAUAUACAAAGAGAAGCGACCUCGCGAGAGCAAGCGGACCUCAUAAAGUAUGUCGUAGUCCGGAUUGGAGUCUGCAACUCGACUCCAUGAAGUCGGAAUCGCUAGUAAUCGUAGAUCAGAAUGCUACGGUGAAUACGUUCCCGGGCCUUGUACACACCGCCCGUCACACCAUGGGAGUGGGUUGCAAAAGAAGUAGGUAGCUUAACCUUCGGGAGGGCGCUUACCACUUUGUGAUUCAUGACUGGGGUGAAGUCGUAACAAGGUAACCGUAGGGGAACCUGCGGUUGGAUCACCUCCUUACCUUAAAGAA